Molecule: long non-coding RNA, 745 nt
Organism: Cyprinus carpio (common carp)
Lineage: Eukaryota; Metazoa; Chordata; Actinopteri; Cypriniformes; Cyprinidae
Exons: 4
Source: RefSeq, a predicted model, not a curated record
AGCAACAUCCUUUCUUCCAUACAUCCACGCUACCUGAAAGACGACAGCUUCCUGAAUCCAACGAUACCAGUUAUGUGCACAUCGGACCUCCGCUUCAAAAGAUACGGCCAGACUGUUGUACGGUCACAUUGGAUUUGAAAGCAACAUCCUUUCUUCCACACAUCCACGCUACCUGAAAGACGACAGCUUCCUGAAUCCAACGAUACCAGUUAUGUGCACAUCGGACCUCCGCUUCAAAAGAUACGGCCAGAUACUACAAAAAUACUACAUUUGAAAAAGGAUUCUUGAAAGUGCAGUACCUUUGUGUGACCACAAGAUGUAGGUGUCACAUCACCUAUGAACCUACCCUAUGUUAAAAUCAUACACACUUGUAAAGACUGUUGUACGGUCACAUUGGAUUUGAAAGCAACAUCCUUUCUUCCAUACAUCCACGCUACCUGAAAGACGACAGCUUCCUGAAUCCAACGAUACCAGUUAUGUGCACAUCGGACCUCCGCUUCAAAAGAUACGGCCAGGUAAGCUUUGGCCAAUCAGAUCGCAUAUGCUAAUGAGGGUGGAAUUAAUGAGGGUGAAACUCGUUUUUAGCUAUAUACCUAGUUGCAAUUAACCGCAGACUAGCCCCUAAACCCGAACCAUAAAUCUGCUAACCAUAGCCUCACUAACCACUAGCCCUGACGUAAAUUUUCUAAAUUUCAUAUGUAUUUUGAACCAUUAGCGGUCCUCCCCGGAUUCAUACAGCCCUCCA